GGGAUCACAGCACCGGAGGGGCACGGGGAAGCCAACACUCCAGGUGGGCCACGCACACUCCCGGAAGCCCUCGUCCCCAGGGCCAGCAGGCCAGACCUCAUGGCGUACAGCAGUUACGUGCUAUCUGAAGAGGCAGCAGUCAUCCUGAAAUUUUGAGGUAGCAAGGACAGUAACAAAAAACGAUUUACUAAGGGAGGCCAAGUGCAAUGGUGACAGCCUGGGCCCCAGAUGCCACAGAUGAAUGGCUGAGCCAAUGCCAACAGAAGCCCGCCUCUAAACUGAAGGCAGAUAGGGCAACUGCCAUCAAAGAGGGACCGCGGCAACCAAGUGACCUCCAGAGCUGACUGCUCUCCGGAAGACUUGGCCUCACUUUCGCUCUCCACACAGUUACUUCUGUUGGAACAUUUGUUGAUGCCACCUCAUGAGGACAGUCAAGCAGACCUGCUAAGAGGCGCAUACAGCAAGGAACUGAGGUUUCUUGCCAUCACAUCAUGUGAGUGAGCCAUCUUGGAAGUGAAUCCUACAGCCCCAGUUGAGCCUUCA
This is a long non-coding RNA of Cebus imitator (Panamanian white-faced capuchin), 543 nucleotides long. RefSeq lists it as uncharacterized. NCBI's taxonomy places the organism in Eukaryota, Metazoa, Chordata, Mammalia, Primates, Cebidae. The record is from RefSeq and is a predicted model, not a curated record. The transcript is spliced from 4 exons.